GAUGAAGCUUUCUGGGUGAAGCUUUGAUGGUGAAGCUUUGUAGAUGAAGCUUUCUGGGUGAAGCUUUGAUGGUGAAGCUUUGUAGAUGAAGCUUUCUGGGUGAAGCUUUGAUGGGGAAGCUUUGUAGAUGAAGCUUUCUGGGUGAAGCUUUGAUGGUGAAGCUUUUUUUUUUUUUUUUUUUUUUGGGUGAAGCUGUUUUAAGUGAAGUUUUUUGGCUGUGUAUGAAUAGAUCUAUUGUUUGGAUAUAAGCCAUUGUUUGGUUGUUCCUUUCUUUGUAUAGUCUUGUCGACACAUACUUAGAUUUUGUUUCGUGUUGGAUAUAUCUGCUUUGAGGUUUCAACACUUGAGUGUUCCAUUGCUAGGAAUGUAAAAGAGUGAGGGCCAAGUUGGCUAAAUUACCUCUUUAGUGAAUUCAUUGCCAAAUGGCCUUCAUUACAUAGGAUACCGAAUGGCUAUAGCUCAACACUUGUACAUCGUGAGUCUAUUUGUAGUAGUACUUCAAGUGAUCAGCGUUCCAUGGAUG
RNAcentral lists this long non-coding RNA (523 nucleotides) under Malus domestica (apple). Its description in RNAcentral is "long non-coding RNA (MDOM_LNC002501)". The record is from RNAcentral. Lineage: Eukaryota; Viridiplantae; Streptophyta; Magnoliopsida; Rosales; Rosaceae.